ACAGGCUUACACAUGCAAGUCGAGGGGCAGCAUGGUCUUAGCCUGCUAAGGCCGAUGGCGACCGGCGCACGGGUGAGUAACACGUAUCCAACCUGCCGUCUACUCUUGGACAGCCUUCUGAAAGGAAGAUUAAUACAAGAUGGCAUCAUGAGUCCGCAUGUUCACAUGAUUAAAGGUAUUCCGGUAGACGAUGGGGAUGCGUUCCAUUAGAUAGUAGGCGGGGUGACGGCCCACCUAGUCUUCGAUGGAUAGGGGUUCUGAGAGGAAGGUCCCCCACAUUGGAACUGAGACACGGUCCAAACUCCUACGGGAGGCAGCAGUGAGGAAUAUUGGUCAAUGGGCGAGAGCCUGAACCAGCCAAGUAGCGUGAAGGAUGACUGCCCUAUGGGUUGUAAACUUCUUUUAUAAAGGAAUAAAGUCGGGUAUGGAUACCCGUUUGCAUGUACUUUAUGAAUAAGGAUCGGCUAACUCCGUGCCAGCAGCCGCGGUAAUACGGAGGAUCCGAGCGUUAUCCGGAUUUAUUGGGUUUAAAGGGAGCGUAGAUGGAUGUUUAAGUCAGUUGUGAAAGUUUGCGGCUCAACCGUAAAAUUGCAGUUGAUACUGGAUAUCUUGAGUGCAGUUGAGGCAGGCGGAAUUCGUGGUGUAGCGGUGAAAUGCUUAGAUAUCACGAAGAACUCCGAUUGCGAAGGCAGCCUGCUAAGCUGCAACUGACAU
RNAcentral lists this ribosomal RNA (714 nucleotides) under uncultured Bacteroidales bacterium. RNAcentral's name for it is "bacterial SSU rRNA". It matches the Rfam family "Bacterial small subunit ribosomal RNA", at positions 42 to 746 of the family's 1533-position model. The record is from RNAcentral. Lineage: Bacteria; Pseudomonadati; Bacteroidota; Bacteroidia; Bacteroidales.